Molecule: non-coding RNA, 1295 nt
Organism: Equus caballus (horse)
Lineage: Eukaryota; Metazoa; Chordata; Mammalia; Perissodactyla; Equidae
Source: RefSeq, a predicted model, not a curated record
AGAUACACUGUGAGGAGAGAGAGGUCAAAGCAGGCCUGGGGAGAACACUGCCACUUUCGGGAAGUCUUCCUGGGUUAGUCAAGGCCCUUCCCUGCUAGCACAACCUCAGAUCGGCCCUUCUGUUUUCAUGGUAUUUUUGCACUGUUUUAUGUAUUUAUGUUUGGUUACACUUGCUCACGUCUUCUAGACUGAGUGUGGCUCCCUGACCUUGUUGGGUUUUUAGUAGACAACCCCAGCACACAAGGGGGCAACAUGGCGGAAUGACAGAGCAGGAGUCUCGGGUGAGUUGGGCCAGGUUCCGAGUUCCCUUCUCCUCCCUAUCAGCUAUGUGAGCAGGAGUUGCCUGACGCACAGAGGAGGAGCACUCACGCCUGCUUCCUGAAGCAGUAAAGAGGUGAGCUUCCUCCCCCACGAGCCCGAACAGCCCAGAGGUUUGCAGUCUAAGGCUUGGGAUUUCCAAUCCUCACUCUACUACUUACUACUUCUGUGGCUUUUGGCAAAUUACUUAACCUCUCUGAGCCGCGGUUUCAUCAUCUGGAAAGGAGGUUAGUAAAUCCUCUGUCACACGUUCUGGUGGGGCUUACGCAGGGAUAAGGCAGUGUCGUCAGACCAUGGUAGCUGUGUUACUACUGUGCAGUGGACGAGGCGCUGGGAGUGUCAGUCACAAGAAGCCCUGUCUGCUGAUUGCUUUGUGGUUCCACGGUGCUUUCCCACCCUGCUCUCAUUUAUCCCUCAGAGCCAGUGUGUGACGCGGCCACAACUCCCGCCCCAUCACCCACGAGGAAACAGCUCCAGAGAAGUCUGGUGACUUGCUCAAGACCCUGGGCCACUGGCUACACCUGACCCUGGAGCCUGGCAGGACACAGCUGGAUCCCCAGAACACCUCCCAGGGCAGAGCCCCCAAGUCUCUGCAUGCAGUCUUAGCCUAGGCACACAUGUGCUCGAGCCACGGGCCCACCCUGGCCCCAUCUUUGCCCCUCUUCUCUUCCCUCGUCACCAGACGGCCAUGCCUGGAGCCCUUCUAGCCAUAAACACUGGUUGGGGAAUCGGCUCUGAGCUCAGAAGGCUGGAGUUUGAGACCAGCCCUGCACUGGUGAGCUGUAUCACCUUGGGCAGAUCACUUAGACUCUUUCAGCCUCAGUUUCCCUCACCUAUAACAUGGGGAGAGUAAAACCUGCAUUGUCUGUUUCACAGAUUGUAAUCAGGACAAAGGGUGACAAUGAUGGCACUUGGUAAUCUGUCAAUGCUACACGGCUCUUAGGGAUUGUUCUUACUGGAGUCUCGCUGGCCUCUGC